Uranotaenia lowii is the source of this 373-nucleotide long non-coding RNA. RefSeq lists it as uncharacterized. The record is from RefSeq and is a predicted model, not a curated record. The transcript has 2 exons. Lineage: Eukaryota; Metazoa; Arthropoda; Insecta; Diptera; Culicidae.
CGAAGUUUUUGGUUUGGUUCCGAAUUCUGAUUCCGUACAACUGGAGCGGAUUGAAGUGCGUCCGGCGAUGAUGCAUCGAUUUGCGGAAAUCAGCGGAAAGCCGCUACCGCCACUUCUGAGCAAAUAAUGGAGUGGUACCGCAAGCAGCAGAUUGAAAUCAACGGAGGAGGAAGAACUGAACCCUGCCGAACAUUCCAAGGAUCUGCAGGAUGCUGGCAAAAUUUAGUGGAAGCGGCUACGGAGUGCAGACGGCUUCGAAAAGUGCCCGGAAUCAAUUAGAGAUAGUCCCGCUCGCGGAAGCCAUCUUCGGAUAAAUGUGUUUUUUUUUUCAACUUAAGUGAAUUUUUUUCAAUAAAUUUGAAUUUGUGAACCA